RNAcentral lists this transfer RNA (72 nucleotides) under Camelus bactrianus (Bactrian camel). It matches the Rfam family "tRNA". Rfam says of the family: Transfer RNA (tRNA) molecules are approximately 80 nucleotides in length. Their secondary structure includes four short double-helical elements and three loops (D, anti-codon, and T loops). The record is from Rfam by way of RNAcentral. Lineage: Eukaryota; Metazoa; Chordata; Mammalia; Artiodactyla; Camelidae. RNAcentral also lists the same sequence under 1 other name.
GAGGGAAUAGCUCAGUGGUAGAGCACAUGCUUAGCAUGCACAAUGUCCUGGGUUCAAACCCCAGUACCUCCA